Molecule: transfer RNA, 85 nt
Filed under: Felis catus (domestic cat)
Lineage: Eukaryota; Metazoa; Chordata; Mammalia; Carnivora; Felidae
Rfam family: tRNA
About the family: Transfer RNA (tRNA) molecules are approximately 80 nucleotides in length. Their secondary structure includes four short double-helical elements and three loops (D, anti-codon, and T loops).
Source: Rfam by way of RNAcentral
ACCUGGGUGGCUCAGUUGGUUAAGCAUCUGAUUUCAGCUCAGGUCAUGAUCUUGCAGUUUGUGAGUUCAAGCCCCACCUUGGGCU